This 525-nucleotide ribosomal RNA is filed under the name uncultured bacterium. RNAcentral describes it as "bacterial SSU rRNA". It matches the Rfam family "Bacterial small subunit ribosomal RNA", at positions 777 to 1304 of the family's 1533-position model. The record is from RNAcentral.
AAUAGAUACCCUGGUAGUCCACGCUGUAAACGAUGAGGACUAGAUGUUGGUAGGGGAACCUAUCGGUAUUGAAGCUAACGCGAUAAGUCUUCCGCCUGGGAAGUACGGCCGCAAGGUUGAAACUCAAAUGAAUUGACGGGGGCCCGCACAAGCGGUGGAGCAUGUGGUUUAAUUCGAUGCAACGCGAAGAACCUUACCUACCCUUGACAUCCUGCGAAUCCCGAUGAGAGUUGGGAGUGCCGCAAGGAGCGCAGAGACAGGUGCUGCAUGGCUGUCGUCAGCUCGUGUUGUGAGAUGUUGGGUUAAGUCCCGUAACGAGCGCAACCCUUGUCCUUAGUUGCCAGCAUUAAGUUGGGGACUCUAAGGAGACUGCCGGUGAGGAACCGGAGGAAGGCGGGGACGACGUCAAGUCAUCAUGGCCUUUAUGGGUAGGGCUACACACGUGCUACAAUGGGGCGUACAGAGGGUCGCGAACCCGCGAGGGGGAGCCAAUCUCAUAAAGCGUCUCGUAGUCCGGAUUGGAGU